UGAUGUCAUGCAGGAGAAGAAUUUAUUUUCGCCGAAGGAGUUAUACUCUCAGGUGUUCAGUUUUUGAACGGGACUGUUUGAU
RNAcentral lists this non-coding RNA (82 nucleotides) under Streptococcus pyogenes. Lineage: Bacteria; Bacillati; Bacillota; Bacilli; Lactobacillales; Streptococcaceae. The record is from RNAcentral. RNAcentral also lists the same sequence under 1 other name.